Molecule: ribosomal RNA, 455 nt
Filed under: uncultured Oscillatoriales cyanobacterium
Lineage: Bacteria; Bacillati; Cyanobacteriota; Cyanophyceae; Oscillatoriales
Description: bacterial SSU rRNA
Rfam family: Bacterial small subunit ribosomal RNA
Source: RNAcentral
AGGCUUUGAUCCUGGCUCAGGAUGAACGCUGGCGGUCUGCUUAACACAUGCAAGUCGAACGGUGAACCCUCGGGUUCAUAGUGGCGGACGGGUGAGUAACACGUGAGAAUCUGCCUCCAGGUCGGGGACAACAGUGGGAAACUGCUGCUAAUACCCGAUGUGCCAAAAGGUGAAAGAUUUAUUGCCUGGAGAUGAGCUCGCGUCCGAUUAGCUAGUUGGUAAGGUAAAGGCUUACCAAGGCUCCGAUCGGUAGCUGGUCUGAGAGGAUGAGCAGCCACACUGGGACUGAGACACGGCCCAGACUCCUACGGGAGGCAGCAGUGGGGAAUUUUCCGCAAUGGGCGAAAGCCUGACGGAGCAAGACCGCGUGGGGGAUGAAGGCUCUUGGGUUGUAAACCCCUUUUCUCAGGGAAGAAGUUCUGACGGUACCUGAGGAAUCAGCAUCGGCUAAAUCC